This 487-nucleotide ribosomal RNA is filed under the name Moraxellaceae bacterium 'ARUP UnID 15'. RNAcentral describes it as "bacterial SSU rRNA". It matches the Rfam family "Bacterial small subunit ribosomal RNA", at positions 27 to 506 of the family's 1533-position model. Lineage: Bacteria; Pseudomonadati; Pseudomonadota; Gammaproteobacteria; Moraxellales; Moraxellaceae. The record is from RNAcentral. RNAcentral also lists the same sequence under 1 other name.
GAUUGAACGCUGGCGGCAGGCUUAACACAUGCAAGUCGAGCGGAGAGARGUAGCUUGCUACUGAUCUUAGCGGCGGACGGGUGAGUAAUACUUAGGAAUCUGGCUAUUAGUGGGGGACAACAUUUCGAAAGGGAUGCUAAUACCGCAUACGUCCUACGGGAGAAAGCAGGGGAUCAGUAAUGACCUUGCGCUAAUAGAUGAGCCUAAGUCGGAUUAGCUAGUUGGUGGGGUAAAGGCCUACCAAGGCGACGAUCUGUAGCGGGUCUGAGAGGAUGAUCCGCCACACUGGGACUGAGACACGGCCCAGACUCCUACGGGAGGCAGCAGUGGGGAAUAUUGGACAAUGGGGGGAACCCUGAUCCAGCCAUGCCGCGUGUGUGAAGAAGGCCUUAUGGUUGUAAAGCACUUUAAGCGAGGAGGAGGGUACUGGUAUUAAUACUACCAGCUACUGGACGUUACUCGCAGAAUAAGCACCGGCUAACUCUGU